AUACGUAGGGGGCGAGCGUUGUCCGGAAUGAUUGGGCGUAAAGGGCGCGUAGGCGGCCCGGUAAGUCUGGAGUGAAAGUCCUGUUUUUAAGAUGGGAAUUGCUUUGGAUACUGUCGGGCUUGAGUGCAGGAGAGGUAAGUGGAAUUCCCAGUGUAGCGGUGAAAUGCGUAGAGAUUGGGAGGAACACCAGUGGCGAAGGCGACUUACUGGACUGUAACUGACGCUGAGGCGCGAAAGUGUGGGGAGCAAACAGGAUUAGAUACCCUGGUAGUCCACGCUGUAAACGAUGAAUGCUAGGUGUAAGAGGUAUCGACCCCUUUUGUGCCGGAGUCAACACAAUAAGCAUUCCGCCUGGGGAGUACGGCCGCAAGGCUAAAACUCAAAGGAAUUGACGGGG
This 397-nucleotide ribosomal RNA is filed under the name uncultured bacterium. RNAcentral's name for it is "partial 16S ribosomal RNA". It matches the Rfam family "Bacterial small subunit ribosomal RNA", at positions 523 to 918 of the family's 1533-position model. The record is from RNAcentral.